RNAcentral lists this ribosomal RNA (658 nucleotides) under uncultured fungus. Its description in RNAcentral is "eukaryotic LSU rRNA". It matches the Rfam family "Eukaryotic large subunit ribosomal RNA", at positions 24 to 664 of the family's 3401-position model. Lineage: Eukaryota; Fungi. The record is from RNAcentral.
CCCGCUGAACUUAAGCAUAUCAAUAAGCGGAGGAAAAGAAACUAACAAGGAUUCCCUUAGUAACUGCGAGUGAAGAGGGAAAAGCUCAAAUUUAAAAUCUGGCAGUGUUUCACUGUCCGAGUUGUAACCUAGAGAAGUGUAACCUGCGCUGGACCGUGUAUAAGUCUCCUGGAAUGGAGCAUCACAGAGGGUGAGAAUCCCGUCUUUGACAUGGACCACCAGUGCAUUGUGGUUGUGCUCUCAACGAGUCGAGUUGUUUGGGAAUGCAGCUCAAAAUGGGUGGUAAAUUCCAUCUAAAGCUAAAUAUUGGCGAGAGACCGAUAGCGAACAAGUACCGUGAGGGAAAGAUGAAAAGAACUUUGGAAAGAGAGUUAAACAGUACGUGAAAUUGCUGAAAGGGAAACGCUUGAAGUCAGUCACGUUGGCCAGGGAUCAACCUUGCUUUUGCUUGGUGUACUUUCUGGUUGAUGGGUCAGCAUCAAUUUUGACCAUUGGAAAAAGGUCAAGGGAAUGUGGCAUCUUCGGAUGUGUUAUAGCCCUUGGUUGCAUACAAUGGUUGGGAUUGAGGAACUCAGCACGCCGCAAGGCCGGGUUUUUAACCACGUACGUGCUUAGGAUGCUGGCAAAAUGGCUUUAAUCGACCCGUCUUGAAACACGG